RNAcentral lists this ribosomal RNA (402 nucleotides) under Epsilonproteobacteria bacterium symbiont of Gigantidas vrijenhoeki. RNAcentral describes it as "bacterial SSU rRNA". It matches the Rfam family "Bacterial small subunit ribosomal RNA", at positions 355 to 774 of the family's 1533-position model. Lineage: Bacteria; Pseudomonadati; Campylobacterota. The record is from RNAcentral.
UGGGGAAUAUUGCACAAUGGAGGAAACUCUGAUGCAGCAACGCCGCGUGGAGGAUGACACAUUUCGGUGCGUAAACUCCUUUUAUAUGGGAAGAUAAUGACGGUACCAUAUGAAUAAGCACCGGCUAACUCCGUGCCAGCAGCCGCGGUAAUACGGAGGGUGCAAGCGUUACUCGGAAUCACUGGGCGUAAAGCGCGCGCAGGCGGUCUUUUAAGUUGGAUGUGAAAGCCUACGGCUCAACCGUAGAACUGCAUCCAAAACUAUUAGACUAGAGUGUGGGAGAGGAAGAUGGAAUUAGUUGUGUAGGGGUAAAAUCCGUAGAGAUAACUAGGAAUACCAAAAGCGAAGGCAAUCUUCUGGAACACUACUGACGCUGAGGCGCGAAAGCGUGGGGAGCAAACG